Molecule: non-coding RNA, 21 nt
Filed under: Arabidopsis thaliana (thale cress)
Lineage: Eukaryota; Viridiplantae; Streptophyta; Magnoliopsida; Brassicales; Brassicaceae
Source: RNAcentral
UGGUAACUUUUCUGACACCUC